GGAGCCUUAGAUUUGAUGAAAAACAAAAACACGUGGUGAGACCAGUACCUGGCAUGUUGUAAGGGCUGAAUAAAUGUUAGCUGUUUUAUUACUGUCAUUAUUUGCUUUCUGGAAUAUUGUUCGUCAUACAAGGUAACAAACACCCCAUCGGAAUAAAGAGACAACUAUAAUCUGGAGCUAAAAGACCUAAUUCAUAAAUAGACAUAAGGGUGAAAAAAUUUUAGUAAUUUCCCCCAAAAAAACACCCAAAGCCUGAUGCUUUCUCUGAAAGAUCCCAUAGAAUUCUGCCAAAGUUCCAGAGAAACUUUAGAAAUUCCUCCUUUACGAUGGGGACCAGAGAUUCUGGCUCCCUGACCGGCAGGGGGAAGCAGGGCAUGUCCCCGCAUGACUUCGGGGCUGUUCCCUGUGUCCUUGUGAAUUUCCCUGAGUCACCAUUACUCACUGCCCACAAUCGGGCUCUGCUACCUUUCAACCAGGAGACCGAUGCCCUGGGAUCAAGGGCCAACCUCAAACAGAAAUGCGAUUGUGGAAUGUUCAGCACGGGCCGUAGACUGUCUCCGGCUCUGGGGAGCAGGGUGACCCUCGCCAGCGUCUUAUUUUUGGCCUCCCGGGUUGGGUUCCUGCCUACUGACUUGGCAAAUCCCGGGCGACUCGCCUUGUUUUCUCUCCUCACUUAAAUACAUGUCUGGAAAAAGCCUCCACCCCCACAGGCCCUGCUGUGUGUGGAAACGGUGACGGGCCUGGAGGAGGAGAAGCGAGGCGGCUGGCUCGAGAGCCUCCCUCUGUGUGAGGGGGAGCAGAGUUGGCUCAGGCUGGCGCUCUUAGGCCCAGCUGCUGGGGUCAGUGACACUCCCAGGGACCAGGCCUCUGUGCCUUCAGGCUCAGCCAGCGCCCCCACUCCAGCCCUUCUUCUCUCCUGCUCUGUCUGUGUUGACAAGAGACCAUCUCGGCCACCCUCACUGUCAGGCUCACACAUCUCUGGUGAGAGGGGCAGGUUCGCUCCUGGGUUGGGCGGCUGUGAGCCUGAAACCCAAGAAGCUGGCCCGCAGAGGCAUGUGCACGUGUUGAACGGCAAGGGGCUGGAUGGAAGGAGCUCAGGGCCCCCAGCCAAGGUGCCUGCUCCUGCCAGCUCUCAGCGGAACAGGAGGCAGGACAAGUGUGCCCACGACAGCCUUCCAGGGAAAACGAGGGGCCAAGCGGUCAGUGGUGGGUCUCUUGGGAGGCCCUUUGGACACGACAACUGCCCUCUCUCAUGGCCUCCAGACAUCAGGCCACUUCUUCCAGUGCCAGAGCUCACCCCUGCUGCCCUCAGUCUGAUGGCGUCUUCAUCCCAGAAUGCUAAGUCUCCAGCAGAUCGGUCCAUUCAUGAGUUCUGCGGAGCCUCUUGUCCGGGCUGGGGUGGACACCGGGACAGUUUCCAAGCCUCAGGACACCCUACCCCACCCCACCCCUCCAUUUGCCCUGGGAGGGGGGAACUGACAAAGAGGAAUGUGGGGCUCCCCAUUCCCCAGCCCGAGAGUCACAGGAGUCCAGAAAAACAGGGGCGGCAUCGAGAGGGGCUGGACGUGAUGCCCCCUCUCCCUCAGCUCCACCAGGCUUUGAUAGGAACCAUCCUUAUUUCACGUGAGGGCGCUCUGCAAAUGCAGUUUCCAGCCUCUGCCCACAUGGAGAGCACGGCUCCCCACCUUCCCCGCUCCAUGUCAGGUCUAAGAGCUGUCUCCUUGUCUGUCUCGUUCACUACAGCGUGACUUCCUGAAGGCAGGGUUUUGUCUAAUUCAUCCUUGAUUGCACAGCGUGGGCACAGAGGAGGCAUGCCCUGGGCACGGUGGAAUGAAAACUCUGUGUGGUACCUCGUUGUUGCCUGUGUCAGCCUGCGGGGACCGGCAUUACCAUUCCCAUGUAUCCUCCCCGUUAAAAGACGAGCAGACUGAGGCCCAGGGAGUUUAAGAGCCUUGUCUGGGGCCACACAGUUAACAAGUAGCAGACCUGGGCCUUUAACCACAGUCUGUGAAACUCCAGAGCAUUCACUCCCGUGCUUAGAAGGUGCCUGAUAAAGCCCCUGGCACACAAUGGGUGCUUAAUAAACAGGGGCUGUUGUGAUAAACAAUCCUGAUCUCCUUGAGGUUGCAUUUUAGUUCCCCUUUUAAAGAUAAGAAAUGGAGGCCCAGAGAGGUUCCAUAACUUGCCCAAGACCACACAGUUACUAAGUGGUGGAGCCAGGGCGGGUUUGCACCCGAGUCUUAUCUGACUUUACAAGCCAUGCUCAAACCACUGCACACACUCUCCUUUUGGGGAAUGCUGCAGGCCCUGCUCAACUGCGCCCCAACAGUCAAUGAUGUUCUCUUCCUGCAGGGCCCCAUAUCUGGAAUUUUCUCUCGCUUGUCUCUUCCUCCUGGGCAGCACCUGGGCUUUUGACUCAGCUUCCCCAGAGCGGGCCCUCCUCCAGCCAGCACCCCAGCGCAGGCCGCCUCUCUACUUGGCCCUCAGUCAUGCCUCGAGGCCCUUCUCCCAAAGCUCUUUCAACACAGCCAAACAGUCCUGGCUUUGAACUUCUCAACAACAAUUUCUUCGUCAAAGGUGACCUUUGGAGAGAUGUCAGGAGCAAGAUAACAGCAGUGACAGGCCACCGUGAAGGGUGACACGUGGCACGAGGGGAUCAGACUGCCUGGUGAGUGCCUUGUUUCCUCCUCGGCGGCAAUCCCACUUCUGAAUACACAUCCAAAAGAGUUUAAAGGUGGGUGUUGAAGAAAUAUUUGCACACCCGUGUUCAUUGCAGUGUUAUCCACAAUUCCACUGAGAGAGGAAGCAAUCCAAAUGCCCAUCGAGGAUAAUGGAUAAACAAAACGUGGUAUAUACACACAAUGGAAUAUUACUCAGCCUUAAAAAGGAAGGAAAUCCCGUCACAUGCCACAACAUAGAUGAACCUCGAGGACGUUAUGCGAAGUGAAAUAAGCCAGACCCAAAAGGACAAAUUCCGCAUAAUCACACUUAUAGGAAAUAUCUAAAGUGGUCAAGUUCACAGAAACAGAAAGUAGAAGAGUGGUUACCAGAGACUAGGGGGAGGGGAAAAUGGGGAAUUGUUGUUUAAUGGGUAUAGAGUUUCAGUUUUGCAACAUAAAAAUGUUCUAGAGAGUCAUUGCAUAACAGUGUGGAUACGCUUAACACUACUCAACUGUAUGGUUAAAAAUGGUGAAGAGGGUAAAUUUUACGUGUUUUUACCAUAAUUAAAAAUAAAUGUAUAAAAGGGGGGAAGCUUGUUGAUUUCCUCACUUUGGAGGUAUUUAUAAGACGGACCAAGCUGGUCACUCCGUGUACACUAUUUCCUUCAACUCUCGCCAUGACUUACCGCGGUGGGUUUCAGUAUCUCUUUCUCACAGCCUGGGAACUUGCAGCCCAGUGAGAGAAACUGACUCAGCCACAGUCUCAAGGAACUUAGCGAGGGGAAGAGUGUAAGUUCCUUGGUGACGAGCCAUAUGCGUCUUCUAUGUCUUGACUUGCUGGGGGAAUUAAGUUGAGGUACUAGGCACACAGAGUCGGUGGGUAACAAGCUCUUGAGAACUAGUGGAUUUUUUUAAACUUCGCAAAGCGCCAGAAUGGGUUUUCACAGAAAAUCCCAUUUAAGUCCCUUCAACUCACGAGCAUCUUCCCAUACAUUAACCUAUUUGCUCCUGACAGAGUCCCUGGAUAUAAGAGAUCCUUGCCAUCUCCAUGUUACAGAGGAGGGACAUGCUUGAGGUCCCCCAGCUGGGAUCACAAUUACUGGAAGCAGGCGUCUCAGGACCCCAAAAUCUGUGAGGC
RNAcentral lists this long non-coding RNA (3798 nucleotides) under Equus caballus (horse). RNAcentral describes it as "lncRNA (ENSECAG00000031577.2)". The record is from RNAcentral. Lineage: Eukaryota; Metazoa; Chordata; Mammalia; Perissodactyla; Equidae.